CGGUCCUUGACAUACUAAGAACUUUCCAGAGAUUGGAUUGGUGCCUUCGGGAACUUAGAUACAGGUGCUGCAUGGCUGUCGUCAGCUCGUGUCGUGAGAUGUUGGGUUAAGUCCCGNAACGAGCGCAACCCUUUUCCUUAUUUGCCAGCGGGUCAUGCCGGGAACUUUAAGGAUACUGCCAGUGACAAACUGGAGGAAGGCGGGGACGACGUCAAGUCAUCAUGGCCCUUACGGCCAGGGCUACACACGUGCUACAAUGGUCGGUACAAAGGGUUGCUACCUCGCGAGAGGAUGCUAAUCUCAAAAAGCCGAUCGUAGUCCGGAUCGCAGUCUGCAACUCGACUGCGUGAAGUCGGAAUCGCUAGUAAUCGCGGAUCAGAAUGCCGCGGUGAAUACGUUCCCGGGCCUUGUACACACCGCCCGUCACACCAUGGGAGUUUGUUGCACCAGAAGUAGGUAGUCUAACCGCAAGGAGGACGCUUACCACGGUGUGGCCGAUGACUGGGGUGAAGUCGUAACAAGGUAAGCGUAGAUGA
RNAcentral lists this ribosomal RNA (536 nucleotides) under uncultured bacterium. RNAcentral describes it as "bacterial SSU rRNA". It matches the Rfam family "Bacterial small subunit ribosomal RNA", at positions 975 to 1509 of the family's 1533-position model. The record is from RNAcentral.